CCAACAACCAAAAAACCAGCUUACAAACAGGGUAUGAAAAUGAGUAAACUGACCUAUAACGCCUUCUUGUAGUCCAAAGAUCCAUAAAAUUCCAACAAAAACGGUGUAGUUACACUCUGAAGGGUCCAGUAAAUCCAAUUCAGUGAAAUAUUUAGUCCACAGCACAUGUAUAUGUCAAUAAACAUCCAAGGAACAUAGUAGUAUCAUUUACAAACAGCCAACAAAGCUACCAAAUCUCCAGCGCAUUCGGUCGUGUAGCGUCUCUUCACUUGUAAACAUUGCAGAUUUGUUCAUGUCAAAAUGGCCGCUGAACUCUGCCCUUUUGAUUGACACCUCAUUUGAGCGAAUAGGUGCUUCUCAUAGGUGACAACAGGGAGGAAUGCACAAGGAACGCCCAGGAGCGUGAAUGGGACCGUCCUCUAUUUGAUUGACAAUAGAUCGAUCCUGUCGCGUCAGAGUUUGCAAAUGACGGGCGUAUCUGAUAGCCAAUAAGAUUCUGAAAAGAAGGAUAUGCAGCUUCACUAGAAAGAUUCAACCUGUAACCCGAUUGGUCGUGCACAAACAUACACUUGUUUGGUGCGCUCUGUGUGCGUAAAUCCCAACAGUGACUAGCGGCCGUGCGCUAAAGCUGCUAAUGCUGUGCUAGGAAAGCAUUGAGCGUCUAAAAAGUUUUACAAUGUCGAAAAGAGCAAGUAAAAGAAACUUUUCACUUGAAGAAGUUGUCGAGCAGUGUACCAGGCGUGAGAGUGAUUUGUUGGAGGAAGACGUUUCAGACGAAGAGAGCGUUUCCUCCGUUGACCCAGUAGCGGAAGAGAUUUUUUGGAUGGGGGAGACGUCACUCUCGACAAGUGCAUGCUGGAGUGGACCUUUCCAAUGCCCUAAUCAGCUAUUAUAAAGUGAUCCACAAAACCCAGAAUUGGUAUAAGACCUUUUUUAUCAUUUCUUAGACAUUGCCACUGUGAAUGCCUUACUGAUUUACAAGCAUAUCACAAAAGGUAAAGGGGAGGUGCCAAUGCACCAGAAGGCAUUUAGGGAGACACUAGUGAGUAGCUGGCAGCGGUUGCUGACAUACCCGCUCCAUCGCCCACUUCACACAGAGCACAUCACAAGCCUUUGCAUAUUAGUGGAGACGACACCACAGUUCGUCUAAGGUGCAGGCACUGCCAUGCAAAGACUACUGUAAAAUGUUCUUCAUGUGAUGAGCAUUUGUGCUUUUUGCCAAGCCGUGAUUGUAAUAACGAGUGACAUGUUGCCAAUAACCUGCAAUAUUGUAAAAUUUCUAAAUAGUUUUUUAUAUACAUUUAUAUAUUUAGAUUGUGGUUUUUCUAAUAUUAAAAGUAUUUUAUUACUAUAGAA
This is a non-coding RNA of Misgurnus anguillicaudatus (oriental weatherfish), 1356 nucleotides long. The record is from RefSeq and is a predicted model, not a curated record. NCBI's taxonomy places the organism in Eukaryota, Metazoa, Chordata, Actinopteri, Cypriniformes, Cobitidae.